Molecule: long non-coding RNA, 1022 nt
Organism: Marmota flaviventris (yellow-bellied marmot)
Lineage: Eukaryota; Metazoa; Chordata; Mammalia; Rodentia; Sciuridae
Source: RefSeq, a predicted model, not a curated record
GUGGGCCGCCUCGCCCCACAUUGUGUCUUAGUCAUCCCUGUGUCCCCAGAACCUGAACAGGCACAAAGUAGGCCUUCAGCAACAUGUGCUCAAAGAAGGGAGUCAGUGUCCGUGUUUAACAAGGCAGGAUGUCACAUCAGGGGAGGAGGGUGAUGGGGCUGGUGCCACGCAGGAUUUGCAUGGAGAGGAAAUGCAGGUGUGUGCUGUGCUACGCCCCCUCCAGGGGUACCGCACCUGGACCCCGCUUCCAGCUCUGGCUGGGGCAGAAGCCCUGGUGGAAGUUCAAGUUCCUCUUCCCACUCUGCUUCCUGGAGCCCCGGGAUUCUCCCACCUCCUCUCCUUCCUCACUCAAGGGCUCCAGGGACAAGUGCUGAAGCAAGAUGGCCAGGUGGAGGCCACUGCAGUAGAGCAGGUGGGCCAAGAUGGGGGCCUGGGCCAGCAGAGGAGGGUGAGAGUGUCAGGAACCGUGCCAGGCUUCCUCAGCCUGGGCAAGAAGCUGCCUUUACCAGGAUGUGGAGCCCGGGGAACCAGUGGCAAGUGAAGAGCGUCGGUCUGAAGUUCAGGUUCAGACACUUGGGCAUCUCUACCAGACCCCCGAGUGGACCUCUGCCCUGGGCCUCAGCCACUGACUCGUGCGACCUCCAAACAAGGCGCCUUCUUUAUCAGCUCCCCCUUUCCCCAGCAGGAUGGGGCUCUGGAGGCCUGUGACUGUUGGAACUGAGUCUGUGGUUUUUAUCUAAAACAAACACAGGUCCUGCCCUGAUGGCGAAGUGGGGGCCCCACACGUCCCUGGCCAGGCAGUCCUGCUGCAGCCAGGGAGACCAUGGAAUUCCCCGCCCCCCCCCCCCCCCGCAGCCCGCCUGGGUCACCGCUCUGCCCCCCUGGGUCACCGCUCUGCCUGCCUGGGCUCGUGCAGGCUCCUGAGGAGUGAUGUGGGAAAGGGCGUUCCAAUAAAAACUCCCAGAGGAAGAAGUGGCCCGAUUAAAUGGGAUGCUGUCUUUCCUCUCCGGGACUUUGGGGAA